Molecule: long non-coding RNA, 542 nt
Organism: Homo sapiens (human)
Lineage: Eukaryota; Metazoa; Chordata; Mammalia; Primates; Hominidae
Source: Ensembl
CUUUAGAAGCAAAUACCUGCAGGUAGCCUGCAUUCUUCAAUGGUUGCAGAGUGUUUCACUGGAAAGCAAACUUAACCCAGGAACGAAGGGAGGGCGACAGCUAGUUGGCUUGUAAGUAGACUCUAUCUCAAAAGCCAGAGGCUUACAAAGUGGAUUGUGUACACAGUAGGGAGUGCAAAAUGCCUACUGGAAUGUGGGAAGAAAUAUGAUCUCCGUUCAUUUUUCUCUUAUCCCUCAAAAUUGUGGCAUACUUUAAAACAUCAUCAUAGUGCAGUAACACAGUCAUAUUAUUUAUACAUAUUUCCAUAUUAGGAGUGUGUACUCAAGAUUUUUAAGUGUAAGAUACAAGAUCAAAAAACUUGGAGACAAGCUGGAUGCGAUGGUUCAUGCCCUUUGGGAGGCCAAGGUAUGAGCCAUCACAACUGGCCACAUUUUAAAACUUCUAUGAAAAAUUUCAAAUAUAAACACAGGUAGAGAAAAUAGUAUAAUAAAUCCCCAAGUGCCCAUCACCCAGCUUCAAUAAUUAUCAACUCACAGCCAAU